UUGAGGUAAUCUUUGGUUUUG
Molecule: microRNA, 21 nt
Filed under: Caenorhabditis briggsae
Lineage: Eukaryota; Metazoa; Nematoda; Chromadorea; Rhabditida; Rhabditidae
Description: cbr-miR-2224
Source: miRBase by way of RNAcentral